GUCAGGCAGUGGACACCAUUAGCCGUUUUUGGGCCAGGCACAUCUACCCACAGCUGGCGGGAACCACAAUCCCAGAUACAGAGCUGGAGCUUCAGGAGUCAACAGACAGUGCUGUGUCAGACACAGAACAGGAGCUUCAGAAUAAUUACGUGGUGUCAACUGUCAUUCCUGGAAGGAGAGCAGAGCAGUAAGGGUCUUUACGAAGCAAACAGGGAGCGGCCCAUCCAGGAUGUGGAAUCUUCGCUUCAGCACAC
This is a long non-coding RNA of Gymnodraco acuticeps, 254 nucleotides long. RefSeq lists it as uncharacterized. The record is from RefSeq and is a predicted model, not a curated record. NCBI's taxonomy places the organism in Eukaryota, Metazoa, Chordata, Actinopteri, Perciformes, Bathydraconidae. The transcript has 4 exons.